GUACUUUCAGUCGUGAGGAAGGCGGCGUCGUUAAUAGCGGCGUUGUUUGACGUUAGCGACAGAGAAAGCACCGGCUAACUCCGUGCCAGCAGCCGCGGUAAUACGGAGGGUGCGAGCGUUAAUCGGAAUUACUGGGCGUAAAGCGCAUGCAGGUGGUUUGUUAAGUCAGAUGUGAAAGACCCGGGGCGUCAACCUCGGAAUUGCAUUUGUAAACUAGGCAGACUAGAGUACUGUAGAGGGGGGUAGGAAUUUCAGGUGUAGCGGUGAAAUAGCGUAGAGAUCUGAAGGAAUACCGGUGGCGAAGGCGGCCCCCUCGGACAGAUACUGACACUCAGAUGCGAAAGCGUGGGGAGCAAACAGGAUUAGAUACCCUGGUAG
This 378-nucleotide ribosomal RNA is filed under the name uncultured bacterium. RNAcentral describes it as "bacterial SSU rRNA". It matches the Rfam family "Bacterial small subunit ribosomal RNA", at positions 430 to 793 of the family's 1533-position model. The record is from RNAcentral.